This is a long non-coding RNA of Bubalus bubalis (water buffalo), 3767 nucleotides long. RefSeq lists it as uncharacterized. NCBI's taxonomy places the organism in Eukaryota, Metazoa, Chordata, Mammalia, Artiodactyla, Bovidae. The transcript has 4 exons. The record is from RefSeq and is a predicted model, not a curated record.
CCCACCAGGCUCCUCCAUCCAUGGGAUUUUCCAGGCAAGAGUACUGGAGUGGGGUGCCAUUGCCUUCUCCGUCUGCUUACUUAGUAGGUACUUAAAUAAUUCUUGCUGUAUGAAUGAACCAGAUAACCUCUUGGGUCCGUCUUUCCUCUGAAAUUCCUUGAGGAUGAAAAGCCUAGAACAACCAGGGGUUAGAUACUCCACGCUUCUUUGAUGCAGCUGCAUCUGGAACCUGAAAUCGCUUCUCGGCUGGAAGAUGGUGUUGAACACUAAUUGGCCGCAGCUGCUUUAUUGGCAAAGGGACGAAAACACACACAGGUCACUUCAAAGUUCGACUUGGUCUCACCCCCAAUUCAGUGUCAGUCAUUUGUGUGGCUCUUGUAAGGUCCCAAAGCAUUGGGCAUGGGAUUUAAGCUGGAGGAUUUCAAGUAUAGCCACCAAAUCUAUUAAGCAGAGGAAUUCUCCUAACAGGAUCCUACAGCUGCUGUCUUCGUUUUCAGAUGCAUAAUGUUACCUUGUAUUUGUAUUUCUUCCAAGCACUUUAUAUCAACACUCCAAUAGGGGAAAUAGUGAUGUCUUUAUGUUGAGGAUAGAGAAACCAAAGAAUAGUUAAGUACCUACUAAGGUGAACCUGUUUCGUAACAGUGCAGCAACAGUAAUCCAAUGCUGCAUAAAUGAGAAAUUGGGUCAACUGAGUGCCAUUCUAAGGGUGUUUGUUUUUUUGCUAGAAUGCUUUUCUGAAACAGGACAUCUGGUACCUACUUGGUGGUUCCUGUUGUUGGAACAGGAUUAAAGCCUUAUGUGGUUCCAAAAAAGAAGCAAAAAACGCAAUAGCAGGUCUCUUUCUCCUUGGGCAACAUAACAAGCUGAGAUUUUAAUGAUGGAGUGACCCAGACCUUCACACCUGAGGAGUCUGAGCCUUCACUGAUUCUGCAUGCUAUUUCAUUAAGUUUUGUAGUUGGACUUGGCAGAACCAGAUGUGUUCUAGAGGAUUUCCUGAGUUGAUGAUUCUCCUUGCCUCCAGUGUUCAUGCCUCCAGUUGAAGAGGUGACAGGGGUCUGCCAUCCCAUCCUCUGAUUGCUUCUUGAGAGUCUGUACCAUUUUCUCCAGAGAGGAAUUUUGAACCAGCCUUCGGUGCCUUGUCAUUUCAUCUGCACUAAAUCUCGCAGAAAGACGCUGCUAUUUCUGACAAUGGAAAUGAUAACCCUUCUGUGGUCCUUUAACUGAUGCAGAUUAGUGUCUAUUUUUAUAUUCCUUUGGUCAUUUCAGAAGACAUGUAGCAGGAUGAAAAUUAGACCCCUGGACUCUAGUCGUCAGCUAUCACAGUAUUCCCAAGCAUAAGCAGAACCUUCAUUUUGUUUUAAUCACUUGACUGCAUUGAUACUUAAUAGCUAGUAUGAUACUUAAAAUUCAGAGAGACAAAGGUGGAGAAAAGAUCUUUCAACAUAAGCUUCAUUGUCUGACUCAUUUCUGUAUUGUUUAUAAAUUUUGGCUCAAAUAGCCUCCCUAGUUCUCUAUAUGUUAAUAUAUGAAAUUCCCUCUUUCUGCAGUUAAUGUAAUACAGCUCUAAUCCUUAUGCAAUGAUUCUAGCAUAGGCUUCUUUCCAGUCCUCUGGAGUUAUUUAUAUGCAAUUUUCAAACAGAGAUGAUCUUUCCUAUAUGCACUAAUAAUAUUUACAUUUUUAAAUGGAACACAGACACAAAGUUGAGGUAAAAGGUUAUGAGGUCAAAGAAACACAGAGAUUAGAUCUUUAAUCAGGGCAGACUGUUACAUACUGAAAAUAGCAAUAUCACAUUUUUGCAAAUUUCAUGCUCUCGUUGGAGACAUAGGUGCCUAACUGAAAGAGGAUUUCUUUUUUUAAAAAACAACUAUGUUCAUUAAUAACUAUUAAGUAACCUGGAUGUAAGUCAGUGGCUAUUAGGAUAAAAAUGCAUACAUCUGAACAAUUCCAAACAAUGAAGUCUAAAACAUUACGUGAAAUAGAUGGAGAUGAUGGAAUAAUAUUUCAAACGAACAAUGAUAGCAAAGCAAUGUCGAAUCAUAACUAAUAGAACUGGUUUUUCAAGGGGUGAAAUUAACUAUUUUCAAGAAAUCUAAAUAGUGAACGAUUAUUUUAAUGGUGUGGUAUACAACUCUUGAUGAAUUAAAAAUUUUAAAAACUCAAGACAUAGUGGAGGAACACAGAACUGAAGCAAGAUAUGAAAGUAAAAAGCAGACUAACUGAAAAAUGUCCUUACUUUUCCUUGGUUCUCUGGACUCAUCCCUCCAGAGAAUGAGUUUCAUGAAAGAGCAGUCUUUAGACCUCCCAUUAGCUUGCAGGGGUCUUUUUGCCUUUUUACAUUAGAAUAAGGUUCUUGGUGGAAUGGCUGACACUUUGUGCUCUCAACUGUAUGAAGUUAGAUCUUUUGUAGAGAUGAUGAAUAGCUCCUUCAGUGUCUAACAGAAAGUUUCCUAUCGUUUAUCUCAAGUGGUUGAGGUUUAUACCAUGGACGUGGAGCAUUUGACACAUAAUGUUCCUUUCUUUUACACAUUGACUCUUGUUGCAGAGUCUCAUGCCUCGUAAUCUGGAUAUAAAAUAUAUUUAUAAUUUACCCUCAGAAAGGGUGACAGCUUCCACAUUCAACCUCUAAAUCUGAGGAAUGUUGGUCUACCAAUGUAUGUGCUAGAUCAGAGGUCAGCAAAAUUUUUCUUUAAAUGGACAGACAAUAAAUAUUUUAGGAUUUUCAGGCCUUAUGGUUUCUGUUGCAGCUACUCAUUUCUACCCUUGUAAAGUGAAUGCAGCCAUAGAAAAGCUAAAGACAAAUCCCAUGGCCGUGUCCUGAUCAAACUGUAUUUACCAAAACAGGUAACAAGACUGUGGACCUUAGUUUUCAUUCCCAGUACUAGUUAAGUCAAUUUUCAGGUAAUGAAAUAAUAGCUUGGCCUUUUAUCUUUUGCAGUAAAAUGUUAAAUAGGGGUAUGUUUUGUUUCUUACUUCUCUAAGCCAAGUAUAUGAUAUACAACUCCUAUACCUUUUUUUUUUGCAUGUGUGUCAGUUAUAUGUAUAAAUCUUAAAUUAUAUUUAAACUUUUAUGGAUGACUCUUUCAUAGUCAAAAGAACUAUUUUAUAAAUAUAUGCUUUCUAACAUCAUAGCUGUUUCAAGGAACUCACAUCUGUACCUUUUAUUUUUAUUGAAUUUACAUAAUAAACAGGACAAAGGGGAAGACAAAAAUGCUUUUUUUAACCUUAAAAAGGAAUGGCCCUGGAUGAAUAUAAUAGCUCAUCUCAAACCAGCCUAAUAUGAAAAAGAAAACAAAAGUUUUGAAUAAGAACUGCUUUGAUCAGAUUUCAUCCAAUACAAACCAACAACAUAUAAGUUAAAGCAUUCAGACAGGCAGAAGAGUAAUGAAGAAUAUAUAACUUUUCAAAAUGAGGUUAGUCCAAUUCCAUACAUCUAAAGUAUGAAUAAAUUCCAUUUGGAACUCUCAAUAGUGGUACUGUAUAUUAGAGAAGAAAAGAGGCAGCUUCAGGCUGUUUUUCAUAAUUUUUCCAAUUCAUUGUUUUAAUGAAAUAGAAGAGUUUGAUGGGACUAAAAAAAAGAAGAAGCAGCCCUCUCUGAUGAGCUUUGCAUUUGCAAAUAGUACCUGCCACCUGAAUGAAGUACAGUACUUUGAAUGAUGGUGAUGUUGUCAGGGAUGCAUUUUAAAUCAAUGUAACUGUAAAAGACGACAAGAUCUUUUCUUCAUUUCACAUUACUGUAUUUACCAUUUCUUUCUUGGCCUUUUCCUGG